GCCAGGCGCGGUGGUGCGUGCCUAUAGUCCCAGUUAUUUGGGAGGCUGAGGCUGGAGGAUCUCUUGAGUCCAGGAGUUCUGCGCUGUAGUGUGUUAUGCUGAUCCGGUGUCUGCACUAAGUUCGGCAUCAAUAUGGUGACCUCCCGGGAGCAGGGGACCACCAGGUUGCCUAAGGAGGGGUGAACCGGCCCAGGCUGGAAACGGAGUAGGUCAAAACUCCCAUGCUGAUCAGUAGUGGGAUCGUGUCUGUGAAUAGCCACCGCACUCCAGCCUGGGCAACAUAGUGAGACCCUAUCUCUU
Callithrix jacchus (white-tufted-ear marmoset) is the source of this 300-nucleotide unclassified non-coding RNA. It matches the Rfam family "Metazoan signal recognition particle RNA". Rfam says of the family: The signal recognition particle (SRP) is a universally conserved ribonucleoprotein. The record is from Ensembl. Lineage: Eukaryota; Metazoa; Chordata; Mammalia; Primates; Cebidae.